Molecule: long non-coding RNA, 562 nt
Filed under: Homo sapiens (human)
Lineage: Eukaryota; Metazoa; Chordata; Mammalia; Primates; Hominidae
Description: non-protein coding GLIDR:16
Source: RNAcentral
CCCCGGCCUCUGGUUUUUGUCCCCGCCAGCGGCUCCGACUCCAUCGCGUCCUCUUCCAGUCUAGUGCUUUUUUCCAGAUCUCGAUCCCAAACUCCCUCCUGCCAGAAUCUGGACCCGAAUCCACCCAUUGCCCGUUUUCCGCUGCCGCUGGAGAGAAUCUCUGAGGUCCCCAGGAGAGCCUGCCUGCACGGAAGAGACGCCUCCUCGGGAAAUUUGUGCACAGAGAUAACACAGGGGAUAUGCCAUAUGAAGAUGAAGGCAGAAUUCUACAAGCCCAGGGAUGCCAAAGAUUGCCAGCAAACCACCAGAAGCUAGGAGAGAAGUGUGGAUUAGAUUCUUCCUCACAGCCCUCAGAAGGAUCCAGCCCUGCCAAGAACUUGAUCUCAGACUUCUAGUCUCCAGAACUGUGAGACAGUGCAUUUUGUUUUGUAAGUCAGCCAUAUGGUUUGUGGCACUUUUUUAUGGCAGCCCUAGGAGAUGAAGACAAUAUGCAACAUGGUAUGUCCAUUAUAGGACACUGUGGGCCAUAAAUGUGUUCUUUGGCCUGAAGAAAUAAAACUUG